Molecule: ribosomal RNA, 93 nt
Filed under: Kribbella sandramycini
Lineage: Bacteria; Bacillati; Actinomycetota; Actinomycetes; Propionibacteriales; Kribbellaceae
Description: partial 16S ribosomal RNA
Rfam family: Bacterial small subunit ribosomal RNA
Source: RNAcentral
UUUCAACGGAGAGUUUGAUCCUGGCUCAGGACGAACGCUGGCGGCGUGCUUAACACAUGCAAGUCGAGCGGUAAGGCCCUUCGGGGUACACGA